This 179-nucleotide long non-coding RNA is filed under the name Mustela putorius furo (domestic ferret). RNAcentral describes it as "lncRNA (ENSMPUG00000028467.1)". Lineage: Eukaryota; Metazoa; Chordata; Mammalia; Carnivora; Mustelidae. The record is from RNAcentral.
GCGGGGGGAUGGGCUCGGCAGCCGCCGCGGAGCACCCUUGCUGGGUGGCACCGGGGUCCUCGCCCUCCCCCGGUUACCCGUGCGGUCUCUGCCCCCUGGACAGUCUUCCCCGAGACCGAAACCUUAAGUCAUAUUCUUUAUUCUUGUCUAAACUUAAUGGGUCAAUGUAUUUAUUCUGA